RNAcentral lists this ribosomal RNA (474 nucleotides) under uncultured bacterium. Its description in RNAcentral is "partial 16S ribosomal RNA". It matches the Rfam family "Bacterial small subunit ribosomal RNA", at positions 28 to 507 of the family's 1533-position model. The record is from RNAcentral.
GAUGAACGCUGGCGGCAGGCCUAACACAUGCAAGUCGAGGGAGGAGCUUUCGAGCUUCGACCGGCGUACGGGUGCGUAACGCGUAUACAAACUGCCUUUCACCUAGGGAUAGCGCGAAGAAUUAUGGCUUAAUACCUAAUGUAAUAUCGAGGUGUCAUCACCUUUACAUUAAAGCUGAGUCGAUGAAAGAUGGGUAUGCGUUCUAUUAUCUAGUCGGAGAGGUAUCGGCUCCCCAAAGCGACGCUAGUUAGGGGUUCUGAGAGGGAUAUCCCCCACACUGGUACUGAGAUACGGACCAGACUCGUACGGGAGGCAGCAGUGAGGUACAUUAUACGAUGGUGGGAAGACUGAUCCAGCCAUGCCGCGUGCAGGAAGACGGCCUUAUGGGUAGUAAGCUGCUUGUGCAGGGGAAGAAUAAGGACUACGCGUAGUUUGAUGACGGUACUCUGCGAAUAAGCAUCGGCUAACUCCGUG